Gallus gallus (chicken) is the source of this 12161-nucleotide RNA transcript. It is a transcript of the gene named glutamate rich 1, with no coding region annotated. Lineage: Eukaryota; Metazoa; Chordata; Aves; Galliformes; Phasianidae. The record is from RefSeq and is marked validated. The transcript is spliced from 8 exons.
GGGGAACAGGAAGGAGGACGGGCGCGGGCCGGCUGGCUGCGCGGGGAGGUCGGGCCGUGCUGGGCCAUGGCGCUCAGCAGGGAGGAAGUGUUCAUACAGAAAGUACUGAAACGCCUCUAUGCUGAAACUUCAUCUUCUCCUGUGCGUGCUUCGAGUGGAAAAGAGGAGGCGGUUCUCAUAAAUCUGGGCUCAAAAUCCAAAGAGAAUGAUUUGGAAAAUGUUCAGGCUUUGUCAGCAGAUGCUGGUACAUCAAGUGGGACACUCAGCAAAUCAUCUCGAGGUAGUGACACCACAAUUCCACCUCCAAGGAGAGUGUACACUGUGAGUCCUGCUCCUGAGGGCUACGUGGCAGCUGUUGGAGAUACUGAUAACAUUACAGUUUCUGAAAACUCUGAGGGUAGCGCUGACUCCACCGAGGAGGAACAUGAAGUACAAACCAAGAGAAAACGCAUUCGAAGAAAGAAACUAAAGAACAGUUUACAAGACUCUAAUAUUUUACAUGGAGAACAAGUACAAUCUGGAAUGCAGGAGACACUUGUUCAAGAUAAUUUACAGCUGCAGCAGAUAGAGAAAAUCAGCAAAAACAAAAGGAGAAAAAUGAAAAAGAAGCGACAGAAAGAAAAAAUGAGAGCAGCUGGCUUGCUAACAAAAACUACCGGUGUGGAUUUUACAUAUCAGCCUGACGAAAACAACAGAGAAGGAGCAGCAGACGUAAAAGACACAGAUGAGAAGGCAGAUAGCAUUCUGGAUUUCUUGCAGGCAACACAGCAAAUUUAUUUUGCUGACAAUAAAUCAAAAUGCACAGAUUCUACUGUAAAUUCAGCUGCUCAGGGGCUUUUACAGUGUCUUGAGUCUCGCAACGUAUCUUCUUCAGAUGUAACUCUUCUACAUCAGAUGAAAUCCCUUGUAUUGCUACAGGAUAUUGACAGACUGAAGGAUGCUUUGAAACAAUUCCAAGAACAUUCCGUGAUGCCUCCUGAUCAUACCAAGUUCAUCAUUACUCUGUUUCACUACUGGAUUACAGAUAUCCUUCCUGUGAGGAACAGCAAAUAAAGCCUUGCUCAUGUCUGUAUGUGCAGGGUUAAAAUUUAAUAUACAAGCACUUAGUCAAGUAGCAAUUAUUCAGAAAGAGCAGUGUCAAUAUACAUUCUACAUCUUCAGUGGUUACUACUGAACAAAGACAUCAGGUGUGCUGGUCUCACAGAACCAUGGAAUCAUGAGUUGGAAGGGACCCACAAAGGUCAUCAUGUCCAACUUCUGGUUCCAUAUAGGACCACAAAGGGGAAAACCUUUCCCUGGACCCAUUGGCAGUGCUGUGCCUGUAGUUCCUCAGAUCACCUUUGGAUCCCUUUGUUAAAAUCCAUUUUACCACCAUGCAGGCCUCCGAUACUGACACAAUUCCCAGAGGUUACACACUGCAGCUAGGCUAGCAGUUGUGUUAUUUCAUCCUUCACUUACUUUAGAGCUGUUAGGUGAAUAGUGUCUGGUCCUAGUGAUCCUUAGCAUUGUGUCAUGGGAGAUACAAUCUGAAGAGAGCAGUCAGUCCUAAGUCCAUUGCGUCAUGUUUAAAUACAAGUGUUCACUACUGUUCCCCUCUUGUUUUGCUUUCCACCUCUAGGUAAUUUAAAUUCUGUUUUAAUCAUUUCUGUUUGGCCUCACAGGCUGACAGCCACAACACUUAAUCAGAAUAAAGACUGCAUAAUGAAAAAAUAAACAUUAUAGAAAUGCUGCUCCUUUGAUUAAUGAUUUUUUCAUGCUUUACCUCCUGCAUAGAUUGUUUUACACUCUACUGAUGCUGAUGAAAGAAUCUUCCAGUGUUCACCUAGAGAGUUCACAACACAAGAAAUGUACCUUUACUCAGGAUUAUGCCUAAAAAUAGGUUACUGAUCAUGCUAAGUAGCCACAACUGUGCUGGCACAAUGCCAUUCCAGAAAUAAUAGAAGUCCUAUUAAGGGAUUAGAGCAUUUAAAUAGGAAUACAGAUAGUCAUGGAUGGAAACUGUAUGUAAUUGGCAAUGUGAAGGCAAUUACAAGGAAACAAAACAAGGGUAUUUGUCAGAAAGUGCAUAAGAACUUAAAUUCAACUCAGAAAGUUUCCAUGAAAUCCAUGUAAUUUAACUUAUAACUCUGAAGCAUUUUCUGUUAUUCUUGGAGGGCUACGGUAAUUUUUAUCUUACUAUAUUGCAUUUUUAAGUUUUACAGGACAAUUUACGGCCCUUUUUUAUUUUACAUGGGCUAAUUCAUUAGCAUGUUGCACUGGAAACAUGCAGCAUGAAAAUAUACAGCAUCCAGGCUUUUAUAUCUACCAGAACGGAUCAAAGUAUUUACAUUUUCCAAAUUAGAAACUAUAUGAGUGAUACAGAUCUAGAGAUCCAUUACUACCAAAUGUGAAGAACAUUCCUAUCAGACCACUAAGGAAAACUUUAGACAAAUAGUUUAGAUACAUGGCUCUAUGCAUGUCCAACCUUUUAGAUUGCCUGGGCCACACUGAGUAAAGAAGAAUUGUCUUGGGCUGCGUAUGAAAUAUAUCAUGUAGCUAAUGUAUGUAAGUAACAAAAUGUCUUUUUUUAAUUACUUUUUUGUUAAAACAUUUGAAAAAGAGGGCAAGAAAAUCAUAAAACUAGUGGGAUGGGCAUGUGUGAUUUAGAACUUUUUGAUGUUCUGAUGCAUUUCUUUACGCAGUAAUGGUAAAUUUCUAUACAGUUCUGCAUUUUAGAAUAGCUCAAGCUUCACUGUUACUGUGAUAGAACAUGACUUUCAGAAGGAUAUUCAUCAGGUUUUAGCAGGUAGGUCAGGUGCUUUGAAGUUUGAGUGAAGAAAAACAACAGCAACAACAACAAAACCCUUACAAACUGUCUUCUUGGGAUUUAUGACUCAAUUUAUAAAACCAUAUGGAAUACAAUAACCCACACAUUUUGGGUAUCUGAAAAUAGUGUUUGAAAAGAGCAGAGAAGUACCAGUGUAAUGGUUGACUGGAGUUGUGUACUUCUGUUGUAAAUCAGUGCUUUAGAAGCAGAACUAAAAUUAUGGUCAUGAUUUGAGUGUAUCCAUAUUAUCCUGGAACAAAACCUUUUCCAUUCAAGAGUCCUAGUACCCCAAACAUCCUUACUGCAGAUAUUUUUUCAUAUUGGGGUGCUGCUCUGAUAUGAAUUAAAAGUGUCCCUGGCUACAGAAAAGCAAGUUACAGAUGGCAGUGUAUAGACUAAGUACAGGACUUAUUGCAUAUUAGGAUCUUUCUCAUACGUAAAAUAUCAUGGUUCUUCACAAGCCUCCAUUUGCAGGCAUCACAGAAGAUCUCACCCAAAUACCUGCAUUUCUGAAAUUACAUGCCAGAAGGCUAUUUCUUAAGAUUUCUCAUUUGUGUGAUUCACUUUGAAAACUCGACAUAUGUGUAAUAGGAUGUCAGUGUGGGAUGUAGAGGAGGAGGAAAAAAGAGCCCUGCUCUGUAGCUGCACAUGCAUCUGCUCAUAUGCACGGAUUUACUGAUGAGAAAAGGUCUCAGCAGCAGCAUAGGACUGGUAGGAAUGAUCUGUCCAGUUUCUUACAAAUGGUUCAAAUUCCAAAGGCUUUAGGCUGUGUGUAUACAUGUGUUGGAUAAGUAACAACCUGGCAGGUCAGUAUAGCUGUUUGCUGUGUAUCAAGCUGCAUUAGAGAUCUGGAACACUAUGUGAUGGAGCCACUCACAAUCUGAGACCCUCUGCAGAUGAAGUGAGGGAAGUCUGUGAGACCAUGCAAUCUGACAGUCGAGCUUUCUAUUGCAUCAGCCACAGAGAGAACAAAGGACACAACAUGAAGAGUUCUCAUCACAGAUUGUAACAAAUUUUCUCAUACUGUUUCUCACAGUGACGAACACCCACUGAGCGUUGACUAGCCAGGAGCACCUGUUCAGCCUGGCACACGAGCCAGUAUGUGGUGGGUGUCCUGAGGUAGAUGGAGUCUAGUGGACUUUGGGAAGGAGAGCAGAGUGAGGGGACAUGCCUUAUUCCUUAACAAGCUCCCCCCUCUUUGCACCAUCUUUUCUAAGUGGGCGUUUCAGGCACUUCACAGGAAAGAGCCUGAUGCCUUGUUUCUAAAUGUGCUCUUGAGUAAUGAAAUGUCUUGUGAGUGCUGCCAGAUAGAUCCAUAGGUCUGCCUUAAGUUUCCCUAUCCAGAUCAGCAUUGAGACGGACGUUGAGGAAUGGCAUUACAGCAUAUGAAUACACCCAUCUUCUUCACAAACUGUCAGCAUUGCACUGUAUGUGCCUCCAUUACACUACCUUGCUGAAGUAUUUGCACACGCUCUGAAUAGUGGGACUGUUGCAAGACAGUGCAUUACAGCUCUCAUUCCAGGGUUAACUGGGACCUCCAGGACCUCCCCCUGGAAGUUGGUUGACUUCUUGCCAGAUAAGAACCUCCCCAAAAUAAUGGAUGUAGACAAAUCUCAACACCCGUGUAGUUCCCAGUCCAGUGAAAACAGCCCAGCAUCUCUGGUAACUUAAAAGCAGCAAGCCAAAGUGCUCUUGUUUAAAAAAGAUAGCCAUUAUUCUGCUAUGGGUUUUAAGGAGUGGAAAAGCAGAAAACACAGCAGGGAAGUGCUUGUGCUGUAAUAUCACUUGCACAGCAGAGGUGGACAAGCUUCUACCCUCACUCCUCACCUUGCCCCUAUCUGCUAGUUCAGUUUUCUGUUGCAGUCCAACCUCUGAUUUCUGCAAAGCUGUACGAAUGGUUACGGUAGAACCAAAUAUCAGAGCUGCCAGUGCUGUGAGCACUGCAGCACCUUUUUGAAAUGUGCUGAUUUCCAUUAAGGACUUCAGAGCUGCAAGAUCCCAAGUCUUCUCUCCGCCUUUUGCUUAUUUUAUUGGUUUGAGGUUUUCUGGUAUUUUUUUUUUUUUCAUUUUGGUUAAGUUCUUUUGAUCUUCAGUUGUAAAAUGAGUAAAUAUUUCUGUACUACUGUACAUGUUAGCUACAGAAAAACAGGCAAUACAUUUAUUCACUCAAAUAUUGUACAGAACCUCCCACGUUCUGGCGGGCAGUGGCUGUCUAAUGGGGCUUGGGAGGUGGGAGCCCCAAAGAUGCUGUACUUGUUCUUUGUGUCACAUUGUAUAUCUCUUCCUGCAGGCCUUUAAAUUCAGUCCUUCUCAUUAAUUGACUUUUCUACGUGUAGUGGGAUAUUCCAUGAACCUCAGUGUUUGAAGACCUCCUGUGAGUGAGGGACAGUGGAGCUGAGAUGCUGAGAUCCACUAGCUGGGAACUAAGAUAAAAAGUACAGUGCAAGGACAGCAAUGUCUCUGCUCGGUAUCUAAGAGAGGAAGCAUUUGGUGAUCCUAGGCUUUGAGGACCCUUUAAUGGAUCACCUUAUCCCAUCCGAUAUGUUGAAAUAGCCCUUUGGGAUGAGUCCUUGUGGUUCAGUAUUCAGCAGGAGCAGCAGGAAAAAACAAUCCAAAGCAGGUGAAUUGAUCUGCAUGACUGAUAUGAAGCUCAGAAAUGGCAUAGGAGAAGAAUUUGGAUUCUCAAGAUACUAAGGAUUGUAGCACAGCUCUCUCUGAACAAUAUGCUCUACAUGUACAGUGCAUACUCCUCAGAAACCCUUGCUGCCUUGCCAGCAUGUGAGCCUGAUGACAGUACUUUCUAGUCAUUCUACCAAAGCCAAUAUAGACAUAGGCUUUAUCAGACACAGGCUUAUUCUUGUACUGCUGCUACUUUCUUUUGAAUCACAGAAUAAUAGAAUCAUAGAAUGGCUUAGGUUGAAAGGAACCUUAAAAGAUCAUCCAGCUCCACCCUGCCGCCCUGAGCAGGGCUGCCACCCACUAGAUCAGGUUGCCCAGGGCCCCAUCCAAUCUGGCCUUUCUUUGCGCCUCUUGCCAAGUUCAGUUCCAGCUGGGCCUUGACCUUCCUGACUCCACCUUUACACAGCCUAGCAGCAUCCCUAUACUCCUCCCAGGUUACCUGUCCCUGUUUCCAUUUUUCUUCUUACUCUCCAGUUUGACCAGCAGAUCCCCAUUCAGCCAUGCCUGUCUCUUGCUUUCCUUUCCUGACUUCCUACACCUGGGAGUGCAGAGCUCUUGUGCCCUGAGGAAAACUCUGUAGGAAGGCAGCUAACUACAGUGUGCAUGUAACCCUGCCUGGACUAUUUCAAUUGAAUGCUGUGCUGCAGAAGUUCAGUGUAAUAUAAAGAAGAAUGAGGAUGAGUCAUUUUGUUACUACGUCUUGUAUUAUUAUGAAUCUAAGAGUAAUUUUUCUGAAUGCUUUUACAGUGCCAUAAAACUGUCAGCUCUUUGCUGCUAGGCACUGCAAUAGGAGUAGCAGUGUUCCAAAGAAUCUGCUUUUGUCAUAUGGUCCCCAGUGUCUGUGAUUUAACACAGCUAAUAAUGAAUCAGGUAACUACUACAGAUUUAUGCACCUGCUUUGUUACAGUACAUGAGCUUUCCAUGUUAUACCAUAAGGUCUUGCGGUACAGAAGAAUAGCCAAAUUAUGUGUUAAAACUAUUUUAUCUGCUUUCUUUCUUGUAAAGUUUCAGAAACCCAUCCUUCACCAGAAGCCGCCGUCUUUCUAUACUUAAUCUCCUCAUGGCUGUAUUUGUUUGUUAGCGCUGUAUUAGCCUUUGGCCUCAGCAGCAUUCCGCUUUCUCUGCUAUUUGUUCCCUUUGUAUUUGUAGGAAGUAAUCGAAUGCCUCCCAGCCUUCCUUUUGCAAGGUUGAACAAGAUAAUCUUGUAUAAGUUCUUCAGGUAAUAUGCUGCCCUUCUUCGUACCAGGUUUACUUUGAACUCUCCUGUUUUAAUCAAAGGAGAGCAAUCCAUGUGCCUGCAUUUACACUGUUGAUGUCUACAUCUGAGCUUGCUACAUCAUCUCACUGUAUUAUCCAUCAUCACUUCUUUUCAUUUACAACAUCAAUAUGUCAAAUAGGUAAAUUGAAGUGGCUGUUCAGAGCAGCUAGUUCAGAGACAGGCAUCUGUGCUAUACAGGUCUAAGUUAGCAGAGAGGAAUCCAGCCCACAAACGCAUGCCAGAGGGUUUAUGUGUUUGUGCUCUGUCUGUGCUACUGCCAGUGACAGCAAUGCUAACCUAUCUUUACUUGGAAAUACUUAAAAAAGAAAAAGUUCCAGCGUCACUUUUCCUGUUUCCACAGUGGCAUCCCAGUAACGUCUCUUGGAAGUCUUUCGAGACAAUUCUUCUCCUUUCUUUUCUUUUUCUCUUCUUUGUAUGCAAUUUCUAACAGGUACAGUCUGCAGUAAUUUCCAACAAUUUUCUUUCACGGCAGAAGUUCUCCUUUCUCCAUAGCAGAAAUUAGCCUGAUUUUCUGCUAUUAUGUGGGGGAUCUUUGCUGGUAAAUUUUUGUCUGUUGCUAUUAUUCUGUCCUUCAAUGUCAUCAAAGCAAUGUGGGUAGGCAGGCCGCAAAUACAGAAGUAACUGCUUGGCAGUGGAGCUGUGGGAAGUGAACUAGUCGAUACACAGCAUGAAGUAAAUGAGUAGUUUAUGCUGUUCCAUUGGUAACUCCAUAAGCCUCAGCAGCACAUUCUCUUGCUACUGUCUAUCCAUAACCUUAGAUGACUUUAAGGACUGAACAAUUUACAGUUGUGAUCUGUGCCUCAGUUCAUCCACAUAGUAUUCCGCUCCUCUUUUAUUGACAGCAUUUCCUACUUCCACCAGCAACAUAUUCCAAUACAGCUCCCUCAUUUUGUGCUCCACAAAGAUAGUACAGUGUAGUGCAACACUGUGGCUAACAUUGUUCCUGUUCCUUGCCUGUCUCAUCAUCUUAAAAUUCAUUAACCACCUUCAGAUCCCUCCUUAACACCGUGCUUUGCUGCAACGCCCACAAAAAUGUGGAAACAGUCUGACUGAGAGUGAGCUGAGAACACUGCCACGCAUGCCAAGCACUAUAUUUUCUUUGUUUCCCAGUGCUCCUCCAUCUGUUGGCACCCACUUGUUUCUAAAUGGAUUGUAAGCACUUUGGGGCAGGACCACGGCCUUCUUCGAUGAGCUCGUGGGGCCUAAUCCUGUUACCAUCGAAGAGCUGGGGUGUUUUUAAGUUACAUUUGUCUCAGGCAAAAUUCCUUUGAGUUUAGCUUUAAUUUUUAAAUAACACCUAGAAUGAUUUGUGAGGAAGUACUCUCAGAUCUAAUAUCUGCUUAAGUAAAAAAAAAAAAAACCAAAAAAAAAAAAAAACCAAAUAGUCAUAUGGUUGUGUAUAGAGGCAACUUUAUUGAGUUGUUUUCUUCAUGUAAUUCAUUUGCACACAGAGACGGUAUUUUGUAUUUACUCCCAUCCCAUACAUAGAGGUGAAGUGGAAGCCAUCUGUGAGUUCAGAAUCCUGACCGUAUUCCUCCAUCCAGGCCUAUGUAAGGAUGAUGAAUUUUGGAACGUAGUUCUUCAGUUAAAUGUCUGAAUUGCUUUCAAAAUGGCAGUGGUGGGUUCUUGUGGGAGGUGACUGCUGCCAUCAACAUGUCUUUGCCCCCUUUUAUUGCCAUUGUCUGGGGGCCUAAUAAUUUGCCUUCAGAGAGUGUAGCGAUAGGUGAGGAUGCAGCACCAGCCUCAACAGCACAUAGCACUCAGCAAUAGCAGCAUCAUGAGCAAAAAGCACCAGCAGGAGUUUGAGCAGGUCCCACUUAAACCUGUGUCACUUCUUUAGGAGAGUGUUAUGGGGGGAUCUGUAGCACUGGAGAGGGGCCCUGGGAAAGCUGCUUGCUUGGGUCCCCUGUCACUUCUCUUCCCAAUGGCCAAUGAGUAGAUUUCACUUUUCCCUAUUUUUAGUUUUUCUCUUCUUCCCCUUUCUCUCUGGUUUGCAUUUUUACUCCACAUAUUAGCCUUGGGGUUUGCUGGCAGCUGCAGACUCAACCGAUGGGUCUUUAUGCAUGUGAACCCAACUCAACAUACUUUGCAGAGCAGCUGUGUGUGGCUGCAGCUCUGUGGGUGAAAGAUGCUUCUCUUGCCAUCUGCUGUUCCUGUGCUCUGUCUCUUGAACACUACCAGCUUGCAUUGCUCCUCUUUCCCUCUGCUUCAGGAAGGCUAAAGAUGUGGUGAGGCACUGGCACAGGCUGGAUGGCACAGGCAACCUGAUCUAGUGGAAGAAGUCCCUACCCACACUAGGGGGGUUGGAACUAGUUGGCAUUUGAGGUUCCUUCCAAUCUCCAAGUAUGUCCAAAUAAGUUAUUCGCCUUGGUUGACUCCUACUGCAUUUAGGAAAGCAGCACAUGCUCAUCCUGAAUUCAUGGAUUUACAGCAAGAAACAUUUAAUUUCAUCACCGAUUUCUCCUCUUAAUGGAAAUAAAACACAAGGUUGUAGAUACGGAUGGGUUGGAUCAAAGAAUUCCUCACCUUUAAUUCUGGGAUGGGGAGGGAAGGGAGGAUGUCAGCAUGUAAUUUGCGUUUUGCCUGCUUGUUGCCUAUUAGAAAACUGUCUGUCAAGCAGCAAAGGUGCCAGUAGAUGAACGAAGUGAGCAGUCUGCUCUGCUAGCAGGAUCCUCAUGUAUUUGCCAAGAGAGCAAAUCUCUCUUGUAACGAGAGCCAUGUGCUGCCUGGGGUUGUCUUGCUCUCUCAGCCCAACCUAGAAGUGACUGUGGCUGAGAUGUGCAGGUCUGCAGAACUUCUGGCUGAUGUGGCAAUCAUGGUUCCUUUCUGGGAUGUGAACUUCCAAAGGAACUGAAGCAAGACUUCUGUUUGUUCACAGAGCUGAAAUAACGUAGAAGCCAGGCAUGUGGUUCUUUUAGAGACCUUGGGAAAGUCAUACAGAUUUUGGUAACACCUUCAAUUACAGAAAACAUUCUUCUGUUUAACUGUGUUGAGCACAGCCAAGAAAUAACUUGUAAAAGAUCUGUGGCAUUCAAGGCAUCCCGUUUCCCUUUCCUUUUAUUUUCAGCAGAGAUGCUGGAUGGGAGGUUCUUCCUGUCUGAACACUGUGCCCCAGGAAGCCCUCCCCUCCACUGCCAUUCUCUGAACUGAACAAAUCACACACACAGGUACAAAUGUGAUUAGUAAUGCAUUUUGAGCUCUACUGAAAUUGUGAUACUGCUUUGAAUAUGAGCAAGGUGGGAAAUUUAAAGGAAAAAAUUUGCAUUCCUUACAUUUCCAUACAAGUGCAGACCCUGAGGCUUUAGAACCUACUCUGGGCAGCAAUCCUGGGUUCUUUUCUUGUACAGAAAGGAUAACAUUUGGCAUACUGUGAGAAACAGAAGCAAGAAGAAAAGGCUUUGCCUUUUUCCAGUGUAGAUUUUAAUCUCAAACUUGUUUGUACAGACACAGUGACUUACAUUCACUGAUGCACCUUGUUUCAGUGGUGUCUCCUGUUAUGAUAAUGUGAACCCGAAUCAGGAAGAAGUCUUUCCAUGAACUUCAGCGAGCUCCCCAUUUUAUGUUGAUUGUUUGUCAUUAAUGCAAUGUUUCCUACAGCUGAGAUAUGCAACAGUUCAGAUUUAGCACAGGACUACUGUUCAAGUGUGUAUUUUAAAAGGCCCAGAUUGGCAAUUUCCCAACGUCCUGCUUGAUAUUUAGAUUUAUGCUAUAGAACUAGUGCAGCUUACCUUAGCUUUUCAGAGGAUGAGACAUAACUUCACUGAUGCUAACAGAGUUCAUACAGUAUAAAUGUGGCGUGGCAAAGAGAAAGGUGAAAUCUACCUGCAGGCCAGAGCCUCAGAAUAAAGUAGCAUCACUCCCUUCUAUAACAUUAAUUAAGCACCUGCUGUAAAGUAAAUGAGUUAUGAUAAUUCUUGAUAACUGAUAUCACUGCGGAAUGCCUAAUGUAGAAUAUUUCUCCAAGUAGAAACCUUUCAUUUUUCUGCUGGUUUACGGCAGGAACAUUACUCCUAGAGCUUCAGAAUGCCACAGUAAAGAGCCUGGAGGGGUGUAAAUCAGCACUGUUCUGCCGAGCACUUCUGAUGAGUGCUGACGUGGUCUCGCAGAGCACAGUGUUGCUGUGAUGGUUGACAUCUCCUGAAGAUUUACCCUGCAUGUUUAGAAGUGUGACUGUAACUGGAGCUGAAUUGUGCCUUGCUAUCCUUACCCAAUGUUGCAUAAAUUGAUAGUGAGAAAGAAGAGUUUUCUCAUUACAGUCUAUCAAUGGAAGCUUCUUAAAGAAAGAGAAAUUCAUUCUGUAGAUCAGAUUUUACCACCCCAGGGGCUGAACUGAGUCCAACCUCACUGCAAAGGAAUCGCAGUUAACAGAAAGUAGUACUGAUAGUAAAAAUAAAUAUUAGAUUAGGUACUUUUUAGAGGUAAAGCUUCAGCAGUUGAAAAGGGAGGCAAGAACAUGCAUAAUACCAGGUAAAGGAGAUUGCUCCCAGAAAAGAAAGAGCUUAUUUUUAAAUGUGCCUCCAAAUAACUCUGUUAUAUUAUUAACACAUCCUUUCAACUUGGGUCAUGGCUGAAUUAAGCUUCCUACACAGGUUGUGCUAUAGAUAUAAACGUAUACUCAAAGUCACAUAAAAGCAAUCCAAUCCUAUUUGCAUUGUCAGUCCAUGAUACAAAAUGCUGUAAUGACCUCUUUUUUUAAGUCCAGUGCUAUCUAUAAAACAGGCUUAGGCCUUUUUGUUCUUAAAGAGGUCAGCUGUUGCUUUGCUUUCUUAAUGAGCUUCAGACAUUCCCAGAGAGCUUUCUAAUAUUGCAGACAUACCUAGCCCCAGGCAAGACACUUGCAGCCUCUGCCAACACCUAAGCUUUGCAGACAGAUCACAUGUGACAGGUUAUGCAACUCAGCUGGGCUUUAUAUACGAGUUCGAUGUUAGCAUUUAAGGAACUUACAGGGAAAAGAGCUCCAGGUAAGGAGAAAAUGUUUGCAUAUGUUGCUUCUUGGAGCACCCUGGCACUCCAACAAAGCAUAUUAGAUUUAAUCUUCUAUUUCAUUUGGAGGUCAGUGUAAAAAAAUCCUUGGGAAUUAGUAAUGUUUUCUGUCUUCUAAAAUUGCAGGGACUGAAAUUCAACAAAGACUUAGAAAUAAUGGUUAUCCCUCUGCGGAGAAUGACACCUGGGUAUAUAAGGUUGCUGCAGACUCAAGCUGCAGGAAAAAUAGUUAUCAACUCAUCAGACGUACUGCUGCAACGGGCAGCCUUGCUCCUGGGCAUGUUUGGGAUCAGUCUCUCCAGCUACAGCACACACCAGCUGGCUCAACAGAAGAGACUUUCCGUGACCCUUUAAGCUGCGCUGGGAUGUGACCCGACAAAUAAAUGCUUGUGUCAGAAAUGCUGACAAGUAGCU